UGUAUGUGUGCCUUUGUUUCAUAAUUUGUAACAAAGCCAUAUAGACAUGCAAACAGCAAAUCCUCUACAACCUAGAACUCAUUGUUGAAUAUGAGUUUGGCACAUGUAAGAAAGAAUAUG
This is a small nucleolar RNA of Dipodomys ordii (Ord's kangaroo rat), 120 nucleotides long. Lineage: Eukaryota; Metazoa; Chordata; Mammalia; Rodentia; Heteromyidae. The record is from Ensembl.